GGAGGGAUGGUCGAGUCUGGUUUAAGGCAGCGGUCUUGAAAACCGCCGAGGUUUACGCCUCCGUGGGUUCGAAUCCCACUCCCUCCGCCA
RNAcentral lists this transfer RNA (90 nucleotides) under Lentisphaerota bacterium. RNAcentral describes it as "Lentisphaerae bacterium (invertebrate metagenome) tRNA-Ser". It matches the Rfam family "tRNA". Rfam says of the family: Transfer RNA (tRNA) molecules are approximately 80 nucleotides in length. Their secondary structure includes four short double-helical elements and three loops (D, anti-codon, and T loops). RNAcentral also lists the same sequence under 1 other name. Lineage: Bacteria; Pseudomonadati; Lentisphaerota. The record is from RNAcentral.